RNAcentral lists this unclassified non-coding RNA (315 nucleotides) under plant metagenome. Its description in RNAcentral is "partial contains 5.8S ribosomal RNA, internal transcribed spacer 2, and large subunit ribosomal RNA". The stretch from base 1 to 105 matches the Rfam family "5.8S ribosomal RNA", at positions 50 to 154 of the family's 154-position model. The record is from RNAcentral.
AAAAUGCGAUAAGCAAUGUGAAUUGCAGAAUUCAGUGAAUCAUCGAAUCUUUGAACGCACAUUGCGCCCGCCAGUAUUCUGGCGGGCAUGCCUGUUCGAGCGUCAUUUCAACCCUCAAGCCCCCGGGUUUGGUGUUGGGGAUCGGGCUGCGGUUCUACCGCGUCCCGGCCCCGAAAUCUAGUGGCGGUCUCGCUGCAGCCUCCAUUGCGUAGUAGCUAACACCUCGCAACUGGAACGCGGCGCGGCCAAGCCGUUAAACCCCCAACUUCUGAAUGUUGACCUCGGAUCAGGUAGGAAUACCCGCUGAACUUAAGC